This 482-nucleotide ribosomal RNA is filed under the name uncultured bacterium. RNAcentral describes it as "partial 16S ribosomal RNA". It matches the Rfam family "Bacterial small subunit ribosomal RNA", at positions 30 to 507 of the family's 1533-position model. The record is from RNAcentral.
AUUGAACGCUGGCGGCAUGCUUUACACAUGCAAGUCGAACGGUAACAGGCCGCAAGGUGCUGACGAGUGGCGAACGGGUGCGUAAUGCAUCGGAACGUGCCCAGUCGUGGGGGAUAACUACUCGAAAGAGUAGCUAAUACCGCAUACGAUCUAUGGAUGAAAGCGGGGGACCGUAAGGCCUCGCGCGAUUGGAGCGGCCGAUGUCAGAUUAGGUAGUUGGUGGGGUAAAGGCUCACCAAGCCAACGAUCUGUAGCUGGUCUGAGAGGACGACCAGCCACACUGGGACUGAGACACGGCCCAGACUCCUACGGGAGGCAGCAGUGGGGAAUUUUGGACAAUGGGCGCAGGCCUGAUCCAGCAAUGCCGCGUGCAGGAAGAAGGCCUUCGGGUUGUAAACUGCUUUUGUACGGAACGAAACGGCUCUGGUUAAUACCCGGGGCUAAUGACGGUACCGUAAGAAUAAGCACCGGCUAACUACGUG